ACACCCAUCAAGCCUGGCUUGGUAUUGGGCGUCGGGAACUCUCCCGCGCCCCGAUUUCGCCGGCUGGACGACUCCGAUCUCUCAAGCGUUGUACAUUUUCGCUGGUGGAGCGGGGCGGCCACGCCGUCAACCUCAAUCAAUUCAAG
Molecule: unclassified non-coding RNA, 146 nt
Filed under: uncultured Devriesia
Lineage: Eukaryota; Fungi; Ascomycota; Dothideomycetes; Mycosphaerellales; Teratosphaeriaceae
Description: sequence contains ITS2
Source: RNAcentral